Molecule: transfer RNA, 76 nt
Filed under: Clostridiales bacterium
Lineage: Bacteria; Bacillati; Bacillota; Clostridia; Eubacteriales
Description: tRNA-Gln
Rfam family: tRNA
About the family: Transfer RNA (tRNA) molecules are approximately 80 nucleotides in length.
Source: RNAcentral
AGGGGUAUCGCCAAGCGGUAAGGCAACGGACUCUGACUCCGUCAUUUCGUUGGUUCGAAUCCAGCUACCCCUGCCA